GGAUUCAUUUCAGGAGAGAAGGAAGAAGUCCAACCCAUCACUUAACAAGAGAUGGACAACUGGAAUGCCAGUUGCUGGAAUACUAACCCUCUCUGUCAGUGUCUUGGAGCCAGCUUUGCUGAGCAUCUGUCUAGAAUGACAAUGAAAACAUCUUUCAGCAUCAGGUUCUGCAGAAUGAAGUCACUACCCACUGCAGUCCCCGACCUCCAACACGCCCUGACAGGAGUUCAGGAUGGAGAUCAGGAAGGAGGCACUCUGUGCUCUGGGAAAACUGACACAGCAGAGAGACAUCUGUUCCUCCUGAUUCUCAGCCGCUUUCUCCCAAGAUGUGAGUUGAUCUGCACGUCAUCCCUUCACCAUAGUCACAUGCAUACUGACCUCCUCUACGUCCGUGGGGCAGUUUCUCAGAGCUGAGGAGAGGCUGACCUCCAGCCUGCAGUCCUCAGCAAGUACUCCCAAUAAAAUACACUCUCAGAAAUCAUGUUUUUGGGCUCUUGUUUUUUAGUGGUUGACGGUCCCCUUCCAGGAGACCUCCUCAGGUAACCUGCUGUUCUCAUUCUAAAGGAAAUCACCUGCAUUUCUCACCUCCAGUCCAGACGGUCAUCCUGUUGUCUCCUGAUGGAGUCCAGUGAAGAACAUCUACUCUAUUUUCCAAAUUCUGUUCAAGAUGUGGGUGUUGAGGAGGCCUGUGUGAGACCAAGAUGGAGGAACACGUGUGCUUCCUAGACAGAAGCAGCGAACAAUGUUCUCCUUAGCAGGGAGAGACUGGCUUGAAUUGUGAAAUAAGCCUCAAAGUCUUGUAGAGUUAUCUUUUUUUAA
Long non-coding RNA from Cervus elaphus (red deer), 819 nucleotides. RefSeq lists it as uncharacterized. The record is from RefSeq and is a predicted model, not a curated record. NCBI's taxonomy places the organism in Eukaryota, Metazoa, Chordata, Mammalia, Artiodactyla, Cervidae. The transcript is spliced from 3 exons.